Long non-coding RNA from Aphis gossypii (cotton aphid), 1758 nucleotides. RefSeq lists it as uncharacterized. NCBI's taxonomy places the organism in Eukaryota, Metazoa, Arthropoda, Insecta, Hemiptera, Aphididae. The record is from RefSeq and is a predicted model, not a curated record. The transcript has 4 exons.
CCGUUUCUAUAUUAGACAGUUUUUACUGUACAAUGUUCGGUUCGAGUUAACAAGUCACUACCGCGACCAUGUGUCAACCGUACCUGUUCAUACUCAGCGGGUGGCGACCACCCUGGCACCCUAUAUCCCCACCAGUAUGGCUCACAGAACACGGUCUCAGAUAUUUACGGAGGAUAAUAAUCUGAACACGACCCGGUUUUGCUUGUGACGUGUAUUAAUCGAGGGUUGGUGAGACUGUGGUCGGUGGGAAUUCGGGGAGUUUAGAUUCAGUGUCUUCAAAAAUCCAGUCUAGGCACGUAGUUAUUUAAUUGUUGACCGUCUCAAUGUGCGUUGUUAAAAAAAUUCGGGUGUUCUGUCCGUGUGCUCGCGUUCAAAUAGAAUUUAUAUAUUAUAUUUAACAAAAAUAAAUAUAUAUUUUUAUUUUUAUACUACACUUACAGACUACAGUAGAUACAUUAUUUACACACAAAUAUUCAAUUUAAUGAAUACUGCUCAAAUAUAUGUCUUUCUGGACGAACUUCGGCUACAACGGGUUGCGGUAUAAUUUGCCACGUCAGAUAAUUCGUUCCGUCAACUACAUACAAAACAGAUUCCUCGAUUUGUCAGACUACAUACCAACCGGGGUCUUUCUAUGUCAGCUACACAUUGGCCGAAAUUUUCGAAUUGAUGUGUUUGUGUUCAUGAACGAUGACAUUCCUAUGACAUUUAUGGACAUUUUGAAUAAUACGUUUAAUUUGAGACUGCAGAUCAUUGAACGCUAGCGGAGCUUCUUCCUUUUCCGGCUAAAGGUGGUUUGUACCUAAAUGUUCGUUGUCAAAUCCUCUAUAUAAGGUGUAAAACACUUAUAAAAUAAAAUAAAUCAAAUUGGAUGGAAACUAAAAAAAUUUAAGGAACAAUUCGGAAUUUUGAAAGAUUCAGUUCAGAUCAAUACAUUAAACCAAAAGCAGAUAUAACAGAUCUAGUUAUCGGAAGUCGUCGGUUGAUGGUCACUAUCAACUUCUAACAAAUACAACAAACUUUAAAUACUAUUCAUAAUAUUAUAUACAAUGGACAUCGACUUUCCUCUAUUAAGGAAACCAAUGAUACAUAUUGUGAUCGACCAAUUGCGAACGAUUUUAACGGUGAUCAAGUUUUUAAUGUUAACGUAUCUUACGGUUUUGAUACAUUUAAUGCUGUCGUAUGUGGUCGACCGACCGCAUUUAGUGAACAGGCGGUUUUUGACACAAUUGAUGAUAGCAAUAGGAUUUUUCAUACUACUGUUAUCAUGGACUGAUGUUCCGCAGUUGGCGAUGAAUCAUCUGAUACAACUUCGAAGCCGAUUAACCGCGGUUUGAUGAGAGUCAUCGAGACAAGACAAUAAUUGGUCAUCUGACGAAAUCAUUAUAAGAUUGUCAUCAGAGUGAUCCAACAUCAUUACAAAAUGUAGAAUGAAGAAUGCACAUUAAAUAUAUAAGCUUCAGAAUAAUGAAAAUAAAUUAUUUGUUAUGAACAUUUUUAUAGUAGAUAGUGAAACUUUCAUAAAAUAAUUUUAAUAACAUUUUCUGUUCAAAGUUUCAUUGUACCUUUGAAUAAUCAUAGAUUUACUUUUUAAAGAUAUAAUAUAGUAAACAUAAUAUAAAACAUAUCAUUGAAUAUUAAAAUGUUAUGCUUGAACAAAAUACAACAUGUUUAAAUCAGUAGUAACGCAUUCUAAAAUUAUAAUUUAUUUUAUUGUACUUACAUUUUUCAACUUUAAAUGUACUUUUUGAAUUUACGUUU